RNAcentral lists this long non-coding RNA (603 nucleotides) under Homo sapiens (human). RNAcentral describes it as "non-protein coding ZBED3-AS1:28". The record is from RNAcentral. Lineage: Eukaryota; Metazoa; Chordata; Mammalia; Primates; Hominidae.
AGUUACAGAAAGAACCCACUGCAGGGCGUCCAGUCACUUGCCCAGUGAAAAGACUGUAAUCAGACAACUUUAAUAAAGGGAGAGCAGGAGAGUGGUGACGAAUUUCCACAUUCCGAACAAGCUUGUCGAAAGAGGAGUGCAGGGAAGGAGCAAGAAUGAGGCACUGGAAGACGGCUGUAGGCGCAUGAUGUCACAAGUUAUUGGAAGAAAUCCCUCCAACCUAGGUUGGGACAGAUGAAGGCGGCGCUUAUUGGUGUUCACCAAAACACCAGCAUGGUGUACCAGCUUUGGCUAGAUGAUGCUCAGGUAACGAACAACCCCUGCAACUCAGUGGCUUAAAGGUCCAUUUCUCAAGCGAAUUACUGUGGCUGCAGGGAGCUUUGGCAGUACUCCACCAGUUUUCUUCACUCCAGGCUGAAAGGUCAACUUUUCUGGGCCAUGCUCCCUGCUGGGCUGGUAAACCAACUUUGAGGGAGAAGGGGGAAGUCCAGAUAUGUAGUGUUUGCUAUUUCUAUGAUGUAAAUGCUCCCACAAUGGCCGAUUUCAAGCUACAAACAGUCCAACAAGUGGCUUGCCAAGUUCCUGGAAAUUUAACAAUUAGCU